GCAACGACGCGCGGCUAGGGACUUGCGCUGAUGGCACAGCAGCAGCAGCAGUAGUAGGCAGUAGUAGUAGGCAGUGCUGCGGCAGAUACAGUCACCCCUCUACCACUACCACAGCAGACGGAGACUCGAGCCUUGCGACGCUCUCUCCUGUUAUACCCAGCAGCAGUUCGCUCUAUCUAUAUCUCUCGCACGGACGCAAGCGUCUGCUGUGCGCUGCUUCUCUCUCGCGUGCCCGGUGAACUUUUUGCCAUUUCUCGGGGCCUCCUUAUUCUCCUCUCCUACUCUCUCUUCCUCUCUCUCUCCAUGGCAUGGGCGGCCAUCUAUUCUCGCUUCGAACGACACUCAGGUGUGAGACUACCGUCCCGGGAGCCUCUUUACAUAUAAACAGUGCGUUGUGAGACUCUCGACUGCUCGAGACGUUGCAAGAGGAUCCCUGUCUCUGUACCCAUUGACAACCUAUAUACCCAGUGCGCGUAAUACUAUACCAAUCCGAACGGUUUAAAUGCCGAUCGUUGUUUGUCGCUAAAGUGUCGUGUCCAUUGAGGAAAUAAAUGAAAAAACAGUGCGCGAAGCUGCGAGGACUAUAAUAAUAAAAUAUACACACGAUAUAAAACUGUUCGCGUGAGACGCGAGAGUGAGAUCGAAAAGAAAAACAGUGUUGAUCGUUCAUCGCGUAAUACGAGACGCGCUCGAAUUUUUUGUUAUUGUUGUGUCCGUUGCUGUUGGUUUUCUCGAGUGCGUAAGCGAACGGCCUCACGACGCGUUCCGACGAGUGGAACAGUCUGCUGCCCAGCUCCACGUUGGUGGGCGCUGGGGGCACGCCAUGGCUCGGCCUCGGCGCAGCGGCGGCGGGUGCCGGAGGCACGGGGACCAGCGCGGGCGCGGGCAGCCCCGUCGAGCUCGAGGGCCACUGGGGCCGCAAGCUCUACGGGGCCAGCGUGGCGCCGCCCCCGCCCGCCACGCACCACCAUCAUCCGCGCACGCCACUGGUGUUCGCGCCCCAGGACAUGAGGCAGAUCCUGAAGGAGGAGCCCGUACCCAGGGCCUGGCCACAGCCGACGCUCGCCGACAAUAACGGAACGGUGCUUGGCAGGGCGCACUUUGAAAAGCAGCCACCGAGCAAUUUGAGAAAGAGCAAUUUUUUUCACUUCGUCAUUGCCCUGUACGAUCGCUUGGGUCAACCAAUUGAGAUCGAGAGGACGGCGUUCAUUGGAUUUGUAGAAAAAGAUCAGGAAACAGAUGGCCAAAAGACCAACAAUGGGAUACAAUACAGGCUGCAGCUUCUUUACUCAAACGGUGUCAGACAGGAACAGGACAUAUUUGUUAGACUCAUUGAUUCAGUCACCAAACAGGCUAUCAUGUACGAGGGACAGGACAAGAAUCCGGAGAUGUGUCGCGUUCUUCUGACGCACGAAGUCAUGUGCAGCCGAUGCUGCGACAAGAAGAGCUGCGGCAACAGAAACGAGACGCCUAGCGAUCCUGUCAUCAUCGAUCGGUUUUUCCUAAAAUUCUUCCUCAAGUGCAAUCAAAACUGCUUGAAGAACGCCGGAAACCCCAGGGACAUGCGAAGAUUUCAGGUCAUCAUCAACACUGCGGUGACGGUCGAUGGACCAAUGCUGGCCAUCUCUGACAACAUGUUCGUACACAACAACAGCAAACACGGCCGCCGAGCGAAGCGGCUGGAUCCGAGCGAUCCGUCGGAAUACAAUGCGGGGCUGUAUCCACCCCUGCAAAUGGCUUCGCCCUGCAUAAAGGCCAUGUCGCCGAGCGAGGGUUGGACAUCGGGCGGCUCGACCGUCGUCAUAAUUGGCGAUAACUUCUUCGACGGGCUUCAAGUCGUCUUCGGCACCGUGCUGGUCUGGAGCGAGCUAAUUACGCCACACGCGAUGAGGGUUCAGACGCCACCCAGACAGAUACCCGGCGUCGUGGAGGUCAUAUUGUCGUACAAGGGCAAGCAGUUCUGCAAGGGAGCACCGGGACGCUUCGUAUACGUGUCACUGACAGAGCCGACGAUCGCCUACGGCUUCGAGCGCCUCCAGAAGGCCAUACCGCGCCAUCCGGGCGACCCCGACAAGCUGCCCAAGGAGAUCAUACUGAAGCGCGCUGCUGACCUAGCCGAGGCUCUGUACGGCGUGGGCGGCCGCGGUCCGGUGCCACCGCCGCGCAGUCCGGGCUCGAACGUCGGCCACUCCUCGGCGGUGCAGUCGCAGCCGCCGACCUCGACGACCUCCGGGGCGACGGCCUUCAACUCGUACUCGGGCCAGCUCGCCGUGACCGUGCAGGAGAACGGCGCGUCAUCCAAAUGGACCGACGGUUCGUUUAACAAUAACUUUUGUUACGGCACGCAGCAGUCGGCCCAGAAUGCACCGGGUAGCGCUGGCGGCGGCGGCAGCUCGGGUGGCAACACCAGCAACAGCAGCAACGGGAGCGCCGGUGCGCCACCUGCCGAGGCGUAUCAUCGCCAGAGCAGCAGCGCCAGUCCCCGGGGCCACAACAACAGCAACAACAGCAACAACGGAGGCUCCAACGGCUACUGCGGAGGUGGUGGCGGUGGCGGUGGUGGCUCGGCCGCGAGCACGCCCCACAGCCACAGCGCCAGCAGCUACUCCGUGGGCAGCAAUCCGUACGCGGGCAGCCCGACCCUCUACACGUCUCCGCACGAACAGUACGGGAUUUUCUAUACGUCCGAAGGUAGCAGCGCAUUCGCACCUGUAGUCCGACCGCCGACUACCUCGGUCCCGCCGCACUGGUCAACUCAGCACCAUCUGGCUGCGGCGGCUCAAUAAACAAACAAAUUCAAUCGAUAACUAUUAGCUUAUCGUUAAUCUAAUCUCGCAAAAAAAAGAAAAAAAAUUAAAAAAAAAAAAAAGAAAAGAAAUUACGAAAAGCAAUAGUUAUUAAAUCUCUCCCGUCGCCUGCAUUGCAUUGCCUUCACUGCUCGUGCACAGCUGCUUGAUGUUUAUGAUGACAUUGGGUAUGUUGCAGGGCUAAGCGACUUCGUCGUCGGCUCGUCGCCCUUCAACAUGAGUCAUCAUCACCAUCAUCAUCAUCAUCAUCAUCCUUCUCAUCAUCAUCCAUUUAUGCUGCCGCCGAGUUGCAACAACAACAGCGGUGGCAGCGGCUACGACUCGGGCAGCCUCAACGGCAGUCCCCAGCAGCUGCUGUCGCCCAACAGCAGCGUUGGCAGUGCCGGCGGCAAGUAGCCGUCACAGCUACGAGAGUAAAUUGUAUAAAGACAGAAUUAAAACAAAACGAAAAAGAGUUAAA
Molecule: unclassified non-coding RNA, 3267 nt
Filed under: Trichogramma pretiosum
Lineage: Eukaryota; Metazoa; Arthropoda; Insecta; Hymenoptera; Trichogrammatidae
Description: transcription factor collier, transcript variant X6
Source: RNAcentral